UUGGAGGGCAAGUCUGGUGCCAGCAGCCGCGGUAAUUCCAGCUCCAAUAGCGUAUAUUAAAGUUGUUGCAGUUAAAAAGCUCGUAGUUGAAUUUCGGGGUCAGCAGGUUGGUCGUGCCACUGGUAUGCACUGGCCUUGCUGAUUCCUCCCUCUUGAUGAGCCGUAACGUCAUUAAUUUGGUGUUGCGGGGAAUCAGGACUGUUACUUUGAAAAAAUUAGAGUGUUUAAAGCAGGCAAGCGCUUGAAUACAUUAGCAUGGAAUAAUGAAAUAGGACGUUUGAUCCUAUUUUGUUGGUUUCUAGGAUUGACGUAAUGAUUAAUAGGGAUAGUUGGGGGCAUUAGUAUUCAAUUGUCAGAGGUGAAAUUCUUGGAUUUAUUGAAGACUAACUACUGCGAAAGCAUUUGCCAAGGAUGUUUUCAUUAAUCAGGAACGAAAGUUAGGGGAUCGAAGACGAUCAGAUACCGUCGUAGUCUUAACCAUAAACUAUGCCGACUAGGGAUCGGACGGUGUUAUUUUUUGACCCGUUCGGCACCUUACGGGAAAC
This 545-nucleotide ribosomal RNA is filed under the name uncultured Glomus. RNAcentral describes it as "SSU rRNA". It matches the Rfam family "Eukaryotic small subunit ribosomal RNA", at positions 548 to 1098 of the family's 1831-position model. Lineage: Eukaryota; Fungi; Glomeromycota; Glomeromycetes; Glomerales; Glomeraceae. The record is from RNAcentral.